This is a non-coding RNA of Schizosaccharomyces pombe (fission yeast), 3375 nucleotides long. The record is from the annotation of a GenBank genome assembly. NCBI's taxonomy places the organism in Eukaryota, Fungi, Ascomycota, Schizosaccharomycetes, Schizosaccharomycetales, Schizosaccharomycetaceae.
UAUAUAAACAGCCAGAACUCCAGUUAGUAAUGGAACAAUCAAAGAAGAAAGAUAUAUUCCAAGUGAAACAAACACACAUCCCGAAGGAUUAAUGUAAUAACGCCUCCUUUGAGGAUCGAAUGUAACAGACCAAGAUAAAUAUGACUUUGGUGGAGGAUGCUGAAUAUAGAAAACAUUUUCUUCAAGAGAUGAGGGACUAACUCUCGAUAGAAAACUGUUGUUUUGAAGACUACCAUAAAUGAAUGAUUUAUCGGCUUUACCAUCCUUAUUCAAUCCCCACACAUUGAACUGGAGAGCUGAUGGAUAGACGUCUGCUAUGUGAUAUCCCAAGAAACUUCCAUUUUCCAAAGGCAGCAUUCUAUUGCGUAUGUCUGAAUCAUGAGUCCACUGCGUAUAAUCACUGUCCAUAAACACAUGAGGAAACCAUCGUUUAUAGGGAUAUUCAAGGUCCGACUCUUGCAUAUAAUUGGAAGAUCCUGUCAACUCACUCCAAUACUGAACCAUUAUAUGAUGGCCUUUCCAACCAUAGCGACUGCUUUGACUCCAACCAGAUAAAUUGCAAUAAGUAUUGUUUCCAUCGUAAGUUUGCCAUUCCGUCCACGUAGAGCCAAAAUCUAAUGAAUAACGGAACAUAUCAGCACCUAUAGCCGCAUGUUUAAUAUAUACUGAGUUAUUCUCCUUUUGUAGCAAAUCAUAUGAAUAAUUAGCAGAAGAAAAAACUAUAGGAUUAUUUAAACUUCCCACGCGAAGUAGAAAAUGGUCCACCGAAUGAGUGAAAUCUUUGCCGUCAGCUGUACUAGCAUUAUUAAAGGAAAUCCGAUGGAUUCCAUCGGCAAUAUUGGAGAAGGUUGCCGACCAGCGAAACAAACUGCUUGAUUGCCCUGAAAACCUUACUCGGUCUUUGUCAUUUAUCUUUUGGCAAGUUACUGAACUCUCAUCAAGUACAGGCGAAUCCCCAUUCAGAGUUUUGGAUGUAAUUAACAACGACUUUGAAAUUGAUUUGCAAUCCAUUUCUUCAGAAAACUCUACAAUUAUCCUCAAUUUUUCUAAUGGGAUUACUAAUCUUGAAUCAUGGCUUGGAGAAAAUUUCGUAAUAAACGGUCGACGAGGAAUAUAUUCAUUAAUCGGAACAAACAGUUUAUAACCAUACCCAUCCAAUCCUAGCUCUGGCAAGCACCCCAUAGGCUCUGUAUUCGAAAUUUGUGAAAAAUGAGAAGACGCCUCAAGUUGAUACUCAUCAUAGGGGUAAACCAAGUUCUUAAUUUUUGUACCACUAAUAAACGGGGAUACAAUGGCUUCUUUUGAAAAGCAAUUUGAUUUCAAAUUCACGCUCACGUUUGAAUUUGUAAACAAUAUCCAAACGUCUGAGGAAGAUGUUUUAACUCCAGGAAAAUUGUAUUCUGAGCUUAUAUUUUGCAAUGAAUUAAUGGCACCCCUCACCAUACUAAACGUACCAACGUUGGAGGGAUUUAUGCCGCUAUUUGGCAGAUAUUCAAUAUUGGUCCAGUUUCCUAAAAGUUCCGAUUUCCAGCCGUGAGUGAGCGCACUAUAUCGAGACCUGAUAUCUUGAAACUCUAUAAAUAAUUGUCGCUCAAUUCUUGAAGGGUCAAAAUGAUCUAAAGAAUUCCAAAUAUCUAAACAACCAAUUUUCGCGGGACUUAAGUCAAUAGCAGGGUAAGUAGAAGAUGAUCCAGAAUAACAGCCAUGAAUAUACCAAGCCGGAGCCGCAGCCAUGGAUUGUCUGCCAUAUAAAUAAUUGUUUGCACUGUUAUCUAAAACGUACAGUCCUUGUUCAUCACCAUAAUAUAUUAGAGGCGCACCAGGAAACAAAAAAAAUGUCAUCAUUGUUCCUAAGAUUAAUCGGCGAGAGCCAUCAGCAACCGAUGCCCAGCGGAAAACAUCGUAAUUUGAAACACCGUAUAAAUGGCGAGGGUCAUAUUUUUCAGUUUUGGGAUUGAAAGAAUCUUCAUUUAUCACAAUUUGGUGCCAUGCUUCAGCCAAAUCUACAGGGAGAUCGUAAGGGAUCUCCAUUAAACCAUCCAUUCUCAAGAAUCGUAAAAUAAUCCUGUAAACUGAAUAAUGAAAAGCGGAUGCAUCCAAAGCAUUUUCACCUUCUUCUCUUAGGAAGUAAACAUUAUCAGAAGAAGUAGCAUUCAGCGCAUCGAUUAAAUUUGCGGGACGUUGAUUUGGCUGUCUACCCCGGUUAUAGUAUAUAGCUCCAAAGCUUGAGGGACCAGUGACUUCUCCAGGUAUAAAAAAAUUACUUUUGUUAAAUCGAUUUGCGCAGAGACGAACGCUUUUGGCCCAAUCUACAAGGAAAUCUACUGUCAUCUGGGUAGCCUUAUCAAUGCGAAAACCGUCUACAUCAAGCAUAGAAAUCACCAAGCAUGAAAGCCUCUUGAGUUUCGAUGCUACCGAAGGUUUCCAUUCACGAAGCCGGUCCUGAACAGAUGCAAAUUUUGAGAGUUGACGUUGCCAAUCAGGAUGACUACCAAACGCUUCAGUAUCACCAUACUGGUCAAAGUCCGAAUUAUAACAACCCGUCCAUUCUACUACCACAGGUUCACCAGAUUCGCCCCAAAAUCUAGGCAAUUCACAGUCAGGGUCCCACGAAUUUGUGAAAUUCCAAUCAGCAUACCGAUCUUCUCCUUUCCAAAGAGCGUUAUGCUCAAUAAAAGUAAACGGAGUAGUAGUGUUUGUGAAACCCUCGAAACCUAUCAGAUCGGCUAAUGUAGCAACGGUGAGAUCCACAAUUACAUACAUGCCUUUACUAUGCAUUUCUUCGAUUGUUCCUCUCCAGUCGUUAAUCGUCCCUAAAUGAGGAUCAAGUAACGUGAAAUCAAGAGGAGAAUACUGAUCAGCUCCCCAAGGCAUAUUAACAAAAGGUGUCCCAGCAAAGUAAACAGCUUUAACACCCAUACCUUGCAAAUAGUCUAAAGAUUGACGCACACCAAUUAUAUCUCCACCGUUUCUAAAUUCUGUCUCAUAAAUGUCGUAUUCAAAUCUUGUUCCACUAAAAUCAUUAUUGGUUGGAUCUCCAUCGACCCAUUUGUCAAUAGCAAUAGUAUAAAUGGGAAAUCUCCAAUGUUCUGGGCUAGGAAAAAAUUCAUGAUUCUCCCAUUCACCCCAAUAAUCCGAUGGAUCAAGAGCAGAAACGUUAGUGUUCAAAUUCCAAUCAGUAAGGAGAUUAUUGAAAGGAGCGCACCAAGCAUGUUUGUCAAGUAUAACAAUAUACAAAAAGAAAGAAACAACAAGAGGGUACGCCAUAUCCCUAAGUGUAAAAAUCUAGUUAAAUAGUUGAAAAAGUAAAAAGAUUUUAACAAAUUUGAUAGGAGCACAAAAGAUAGAAGGUAAAGUCUUCAGACUUAAACUAGU